GACGUAGGAGGCGAGCGUUGUCCGGAUUCAUUGGGCGUAAAGAGCGCGCAGGCGGCUUGGUAAGUCGGAUGUGAAAUCCCGAGGCUCAACCUCGGGUCUGCAUCCGAUACUGCCCGGCUAGAGGUAGGUAGGGGAGAUCGGAAUUCCUGGUGUAGCGGUGAAAUGCGCAGAUAUCAGGAGGAACACCGGUGGCGAAGGCGGCCUGCUGGGCAGUGGCUGACACUGAGGCGCGACAGCGUGGGGAGCAAACAGG
Molecule: ribosomal RNA, 253 nt
Filed under: uncultured bacterium
Lineage: Bacteria
Description: partial 16S ribosomal RNA
Rfam family: Bacterial small subunit ribosomal RNA
Source: RNAcentral